UACUGUGCUCAUACCACCCUGAAUACACUCCAUUUCACCUGAUCUCAGAAGCUAAGCAGGAUUAGAUUCAAUUAGUACUUGGAUGGAAGAAGUGUUUUAUAUACAAAGCAC
Molecule: ribosomal RNA, 111 nt
Filed under: Jaculus jaculus (lesser Egyptian jerboa)
Lineage: Eukaryota; Metazoa; Chordata; Mammalia; Rodentia; Dipodidae
Source: RNAcentral